This is a long non-coding RNA of Pogoniulus pusillus (Red-fronted tinkerbird), 2008 nucleotides long. RefSeq lists it as uncharacterized. The transcript is spliced from 2 exons. NCBI's taxonomy places the organism in Eukaryota, Metazoa, Chordata, Aves, Piciformes, Lybiidae. The record is from RefSeq and is a predicted model, not a curated record.
UGCAGAGCUGUGCGGGGGUCUGGAGGGCUCCCUGGAAGUCUCUGGAGUUCUCUGGGUGUCUGGAGGUCGUUAGGGGUUUUUAGAGGUGUCUGUGGUGCUGCAGGUGUCUCAAAAGGCUGUAAAGGUCUUGAAGUGCCUUGCAAAGGUCUCGAGGUGUCUGUAGAGGUCUUUAGAGGUCUGCAGGGGCCUCUUAAAGAUAUGUAGGAGUCUGCAGGGGUCUAUUGACAGGUUGGGUGGGGUCCCUAGAGCUCUCUAGGAGACUGGAGUGGUCUGUAGGUUUCUGUAGGGGUUUACAAGUUUCUGUAGCAUUCAGUAGGUGUCUGGAGGUUUCUGUUAAGGGGUCCGCAGGUGUGUGCAGGCAUCAUUUAAGGCUCUGGAGGGGUCUAUAGAUGUGUGCAGGGGUCUGUUAAAUAUCUGGAGGGGUCUGAAGGGGACUGGGGAGCUCUGUAGGGGUCUGUAUGUGUUUGCAGGCAGCUGCAGGGGUCCGUAGAUGCCUGUAGGGAUUUGCAGGGGUCUUAGUUGUCUGCAGGGGUGGGUCGAGGUUUUAAAUCGUUGCUGUAAAUAGCAUUUAUGGCUUUAGAAACCUCCUUGCAAUUAUAAUUUAGAUUGUGGGAAAUUUUAUUUUUUGUUAAAAUAGAAAGUAUUUACCCAUAUUUAUUAAAUUUAUUUUGUAGGAUGUUGUGGGUGUUCUUUUCUCUUUUACAGAGAAUGAAGAUUAUGGAGGGGAAACUGAGGUGACUUCAGAGCAGAGAAGUGAUAUUUUGGAGGAAAAAGCUGAACAGGUCUAUUGGGAAGGAAGCAAAAACUCUGGAGGAAAAAUCUGAGAGUUAUAGUCAGAGGCGAGUCCCUUUGGCCAGAGUACCUUGCUCACCUCCCAUUCUCCAGCCCGAUGCGGAUCCUCUUUGCGAUGUGUCUUGCUUCGCGAUUCCAUGCCACGCCUCUUCCACCAUCAGUGUCAGCUGCUGCUGAGGAAGAAGGAUAGACUUAGGCUUCAGUAGCACCUCCUCCUCCAUGCCCGAGGAAAACAGGGACCUCCCCAGAGGCACCAUCCCUAGUCCGAGUGCCUUUGCGCUCAGCUAGCAGCCCGUGUGGGGUGCCCGUGUCCUUAGCGGGGUGCGGGUGUAGAUGGCCCUAAACUGGAGAGAAGGAGCCUCCGUAGGCCCCUGGGACCAGGGUUGCCCUGCCGGUCGGGGCCCGCUCAGUGCCCUGGCGUCCCAGGCGCGUUUCGAUGCCAGCAGCGAGUACAGCGCGCCGUAAGCAGGAUCGUGUAGCCUCCGCGGCGGCUGCUUUGCGCGCCCAGCUGGAUUUGUGCGGGGUUCCCGCCUCGCAGCCCGUCUCCAGUCCUGACCGGGAGUGUGCCGUGCGCCGCUUGGGCGAGACAAGGCAAAGUGGGAGGGCUUUGCGGCGCUGGGGCUGCCUGCGGGUGGGAAGCUGGCCGGGUGGUGCCCCUGGGGAGGUGCCCAUUUCCCACGGGUGCGGAGGGGGAGGCGCCAGUGAGGCCUAAGCCUGCCCUUGCUCGGCGGUUGCUGGAGCCGACAGCGGAAGAGGCACGACAGAGAAUGGCGAGGUAAAGGACGUUGAGAAGAGGCGGGCCGUCGGUCUGGAGAAGAGGAGACGGGCGAGGCGCUCUGGGCAAAGGGAGUCGCUCCUGACCGAAGGUGUGGUAAGUCGAGAGCUUUGCCGUCACCUCGAGUGUGGCCUGUGUGGCUUUGCGCUGGACAACCUCCACGUAAGUAGGACUCGGUCUUUGCUUGUGCCGUCGUUUGCCUUUUGGCGGUUUGGUCCUUUGGCUGCCCGGAGCCCGGCUGCCCUGUAAGGAAGGCGCGAGGCGGUGUCUCCACGCCCGUUGGGGAAAGGGAUCAACCUGGUCCCCGAGCCCCCCCUGUAAGCGGGGUAGGGUCCUUUCCGCAGCCCCGGCAGCUUGUCAGCUGUGGGCUGCCUGUGCAGCGUGACCCCCUGUGCUCGGGGCGUGUCGCGGCUUUUGUCCUUUGGCCGCCCCUGAGGGCCU